GGGAGCUGGGUGCUGGCAGGUGAUGAGAUCCAAAGGGUCCUCACAUGGCACUGGGGCGGUUUCCCCCCUGCUAAUUUUCAGCUGCGGGGGAGUAAGCCAGUUUUUCUCUCAGCAUCUCUGCUGUUGGGGCUGGGAAGCAGGGCAGGAGCUGGGAUCCGUGCCUCCUUUCCCAGACCCCAAAGGAGCCCCCUGGGUUUCUGUAGCAUCCAGCAGCAUCCCCGAGCAGAGGCGGUGGCACCAGGGGGUGCUGCGCGCUCGCAGCUCGGAGCGCAGCCGCUGCUGCUGCGGAGAUGGCAACAAGAGGAAGGCCUCUGACAAUUUUUGCCCACAAAAUGUUGCUUCUGCACUUCUACAGCCUCUGACAUCCCAAAAUGUAGCUGCAGUCAGGAAGAUUGAAAUAGCAGCGGGAUGCAGUGGGCCACGCCACGGCGUGCAUGGCAAAGCGGCGGAGAUGGAAAUAGUUUCAGAGCAAAGGCAUUAUUAAUGAAGAAUGUAACCAGGGGCCGGACGCCAGGCUCGUGUACCUGAUGCUCACCCGGGCUGUACUUGACCAGCACAUCAAUCUGCUGCCUGCACAAAUUCAUUUUUUAAAACAUCUUCGCUGCCUCUGCCUGCCUGCUGGGAGCUUUGUGCCACUUCAGAGAGCCAGACCCGAGGAGCCCUUACAGCUCCACGUCGGGACGGAGAGCUGCCGGGUCCCAUACCCCUGCUCUGGGCUGUCCCGGGGCAUGGCAGCCCCCUCCUCACCCGCAGGAUGCCCACGGACCCCCGGGGCCCUGCUCCCAGCUGGGAGAGCUGCCCCUGCCCCAGGCUGUGGGCACACGUGGAAGCUCUUGGCCAAGGGAAAUGCAAAUCCGGGACAAUCAGCCUGAGCAGCAGCGAGGUACGAGGUGAUGAAACCCAAUCAGUUAAUAACACUUCAUGGCAGCAAAAGAAUUGCAGAUGAUCGUGUUUUUAAAUACCUUUUUUUUUUUUUUUUUUUUUAAUCUCCUCGACAGAGCUAUUCCCCUGGGAGAAAUCUCACGUCAGCAAGCCCCAGGGGCUGCUGCUUCCCAAGCCCAGGAACGGGAGCCUCAGCAAAGCUCUGGCACUGCAGCCUGCACACCGCUGGGGUUCCUGUGAAUGCAUUUUUGGGACGCACCAGCCCUGCUGCCUCACAGAGCCCCUCUGUCCAUGCAGGCAGUGUUUGGUGCUGGGCGCUGUGCCCUGUGCCCCCCAGCUGGGCCCUGCCACGCUGCCAGGGGGUCCCUGGGGUCUGGGGGCAUGGGGAUGAGCACUGUGGGACCAAAACGGCUCAACAGCCACCGCUGGCGAGCAUGAGAAAAAUAAAGGUUUGAGACCCGGAGAGUAAUCA
RNAcentral lists this long non-coding RNA (1354 nucleotides) under Anas platyrhynchos platyrhynchos (common mallard). RNAcentral's name for it is "lncRNA (ENSAPLG00000020891.1)". The record is from RNAcentral. Lineage: Eukaryota; Metazoa; Chordata; Aves; Anseriformes; Anatidae.